Molecule: ribosomal RNA, 207 nt
Filed under: uncultured bacterium
Lineage: Bacteria
Description: partial 16S ribosomal RNA
Rfam family: Bacterial small subunit ribosomal RNA
Source: RNAcentral
UCCGCAGGAGGUUCGUUAAAAUUGGGGUGAAAUCCCGGAGCUCAACUCCGGAACUGCCCUGAUGACUGACGGACUAGAGUGCUGGAGGGGUAAGCGGAAUUUCAGGUGUAGCGGUGGAAUGCGUAGAUAUCUGAAAGAACACCGAUGGCGAAGGCAGCUUACUGGACAGCAACUGACUCUCAGGGACGAAAGCGUGGGGAGCAAACA